GCCGCACGAACCGGGACCAAUGCUCACAUUAGUCCCGGUUCGUGACUGAACCGGGACUAAUGUUAAUAUUGCCCUGUGACCAAAGCCCUGUUUUCUACUAGUGACCUUUGCUUCUGUAGUUUCGCCGAACUGAACUUCUCUAAAUAACACCAACCAGAGUUUAUUCUUAGAUGUUUUUUUGUAAUUUAAAAUUGCUCAGAUUUAUUAAUCCACCAUUUCAAUGCUGUUUAUAGAGGCAAAAUGAUUGUAUUUAUAUGACUGGUUAAUAGAAAAUCUAGACAGUUAUGUCAGACCUUUAUCUUGACAUUUGCCUUUCAUAAAUCUACUAAACCUUUUUUUUACUUGAUCUUCUGUGCAGCUAUGGUUAUUGGGCCUCAAUAAUCUGAAUUCCUAAGUAAUUAUAACAACAAAAGUUUUAUUUUCUUAGGUAUACCAUUGUUGUUUUGCUGAAUGAAUAACAAGGUAGUCCAGUAGAAUUGUAACUUGUGAGCCCUGCAAAUAGUCCCUACAGAGUAGGUUUAUAGAAGGUUUGUUGAAAGAUUUAUUGUGGGUUGUGUUACUUGCCAAACAAGUGUUAUGCUCAAGUCAGACCCUUUGGUGGCUUCCCUUGUUAAAUGAUGUGCAAAGAAUUUUAUUGCUUAGUGUAAUUAAUAAGUGCUUGGAUUAUUUUGCAGUGAAAAUGUUUGUGAUUUUCCCUCUUCCUUCUCUUGUUAGAUCAUAUCACCUUAACUAUACAAAUUAAUUUGUGAAGAUAUAUGUUCCUUAAUUUGAUUGCAGCGACCAUAAUAAAAUAAUUGUAGAAACCUGUAGUGUAUUGGUCUCUUUUCUCCUAAUUGUCUAUAUAUUCUACAUCUGGUAGAUCAAGGAUCUCUCGUCAUUUGAUUUUCUUAGGGUUGCUUCGUGCUAUUUCUCUACACCUAGGUUGGGGAAUUUUGCUUCUAAUGCUCCUGAAAACUAAGAAUUUGGUACAAAAUGAAACCAUUCUGCAUUUGGAUCUGCGCUAUAGAUAAUUGGUUUAUUGAAAUUCCUCUAGGUCAUUAACAGUGGUGGUAUUUGUCCUUAUCGGAACCAUUGUUUUGAUUUCAUGGCCUCUUGUAUCUAUGUGUCCCUCUUGUAUGUAUUUUUAUUUUCUAAUCUGCGUUUAAGAAAAGAACUGUAUUUGUUUUUUUAUAAAAUCAGGUCAAAUUACUCCACUUUGAAUUAAAGUUCCAACCAUACAUACUUAUUUUGUCUGCAGAAGAUAGAUAUUUAUUACCACCAUAGAUGCAUGUGAAUACGCCUUAAGAUCUCAACAGAAGUAAGGUUAAAUGAUUACCUAUCUUGUGAUCUUCUGUUAUGAGAACAGCGGUAUCUCUGUCCACUGUGCACGUUUCUCCCAAACUAUUGAGUUAGUUUAUUCAAAUGACAGAGCGCACAGGUUCCUUCGGGUAUCUAAAUAGAUUUGGGAAGCUUUUGUUCUGAAAAAGUCUGCCUGAUUAAACAAACUCUAGAGGCUAAUGGAUUCAAACACGGAAAUAAACAGACAAUUUCACAGACCGUACAUCGCAGGCCAAUCGAAACAGAGAGAGCCAGAGAGAGAGAGGGAGGGACAGAGGGAGAGAGGUUUAUUCACACACUGUCAAUCCAAUUUUUUUGUAAUUAUUGUUAUGUGCAUAUAUUUUAUUUCUUCUUUGGUUUAGGGAACAUAGAAAUGCAGGAGCUAUUAGCCAUGCUCAUGUUAAUUUCUGUUAUGAACAUGACAGUUGAAUUCGAUAGGGUUAAAUUUGUUCCCCCAAGGUGGUGCGGGUUUCGGGGUUUCAAGGGCGUGAAAUGGCAUGGAAGACAGAGAUGGCAGCAGCCUGCAUCCUCGAAUUGGAGUUGCCUCUUGGGGAGUAGCAGGUUGCUGAAAUGACGACCAGGGUGGAUGCCCAAAGUUACAGAAAUAUCUACCUGGGAGGAGGCGCCGAAAUUUAGAGGCACACGGGAGAUGCUAGAGGAUGAUAAGAAAGAUGAGGAGAAAGCUUAGGUUUAGUUCUUUAAUAAUUUUUGUUCUUUUUUUAGAGUUCCUGAGAAUUAGUUGCAGACAAUGUUGUGAUGCUCCAAUAGUAUAGUGCAAUAUCCUACGAUGACAACUAUAAAUGUCAUACUCUAUUUGUUAGGAUAUUCUAUUCAUGCUAUAUUCAUUGUUAGUUUUGUCUUCAUCCUACUAUUUAUGGAUAUUUCCUUUAUCGCCUCCACUGGACAUGAGUAACCCGUGGCAUUUUCCAUGCUUUUCUUCUAUAUAGUGGAGGUUUCUUUCAUCAGAGCAAACUGGUUCCACAGAGGUUUCAUUAGAGCUAACUUUGUGUUUUAUCAUCUUGGAACCGUUACUAUUUGCUUAGAGGAAAGACGAAGCAACAUCUACUUUUAAUUGGAAUAAUUAUGCAAGAAGACAUUCAA
Long non-coding RNA from Triticum aestivum (bread wheat), 2418 nucleotides. RefSeq lists it as uncharacterized. Lineage: Eukaryota; Viridiplantae; Streptophyta; Magnoliopsida; Poales; Poaceae. The transcript is spliced from 3 exons. The record is from RefSeq and is a predicted model, not a curated record.